UGGGGAAUAUUGGACAAUGGGGGCAACCCUGAUCCAGCCAUGCCGCGUGUGUGAAGAAGGCCUUUUGGUUGUAAAGCACUUUAAGCAGUGAAGAAGACUCCAUGGUUAAUACCCAUGGACGAUGACAUUAGCUGCAGAAUAAGCACCGGCUAACUCUGUGCCAGCAGCCGCGGUAAUACAGAGGGUGCAAGCGUUAAUCGGAAUUACUGGGCGUAAAGCGAGCGUAGGUGGCUUGAUAAGUCAGAUGUGAAAUCCCCGGGCUUAACCUGGGAACUGCAUCUGAUACUGUUAGGCUAGAAUAGGUGAGAGGAAGGUAGAAUUCCAGGUGUAGCGGUGAAAUGCGUAGAGAUCUGGAGGAAUACCGAUGGCGAAGGCAGCCUUCUGGCAUCAUAUUGACACUGAGGUUCG
This 408-nucleotide ribosomal RNA is filed under the name uncultured bacterium. RNAcentral describes it as "bacterial SSU rRNA". It matches the Rfam family "Bacterial small subunit ribosomal RNA", at positions 355 to 755 of the family's 1533-position model. The record is from RNAcentral.